RNAcentral lists this ribosomal RNA (587 nucleotides) under Enterobacterales bacterium. RNAcentral's name for it is "bacterial SSU rRNA". It matches the Rfam family "Bacterial small subunit ribosomal RNA", at positions 816 to 1402 of the family's 1533-position model. Lineage: Bacteria; Pseudomonadati; Pseudomonadota; Gammaproteobacteria; Enterobacterales. The record is from RNAcentral.
UUUGGAGGUUGUGGGCUUGACCCGUGGCUUCCGGAGCUAACGCGUUAAAUCGACCGCCUGGGGAGUACGGCCGCAAGGUUAAAACUCAAAUGAAUUGACGGGGGCCCGCACAAGCGGUGGAGCAUGUGGUUUAAUUCGAUGCAACGCGAAGAACCUUACCUACUCUUGACAUCCAGAGAAUUCGCUAGAGAUAGCUUAGUGCCUUCGGGAACUCUGAGACAGGUGCUGCAUGGCUGUCGUCAGCUCGUGUUGUGAAAUGUUGGGUUAAGUCCCGCAACGAGCGCAACCCUUAUCCUUUGUUGCCAGCACGUAAUGGUGGGAACUCAAAGGAGACUGCCGGUGAUAAACCGGAGGAAGGUGGGGAUGACGUCAAGUCAUCAUGGCCCUUACGAGUAGGGCUACACACGUGCUACAAUGGCAUAUACAAAGAGAAGCGAACUCGCGAGAGCAAGCGGACCUCAUAAAGUAUGUCGUAGUCCGGAUUGGAGUCUGCAACUCGACUCCAUGAAGUCGGAAUCGCUAGUAAUCGUAGAUCAGAAUGCUACGGUGAAUACGUUCCCGGGCCUUGCACUCACCGCCCGUCAAAA